This 252-nucleotide non-coding RNA is filed under the name uncultured bacterium. Its description in RNAcentral is "partial 16S ribosomal RNA". It matches the Rfam family "Bacterial small subunit ribosomal RNA", at positions 524 to 776 of the family's 1533-position model. The record is from RNAcentral. RNAcentral also lists the same sequence under 1 other name.
GACAGAAGGUGCAAGCGUUACUCGGAAUUACUGGGCGUAAAGCGUCCGUAGCCGAUCUUUCAAGUCUGGUGUUAAAAUGCGGAGCUCAACUCCGUACCGUGCCGGAAACUGUUAGAAUAGAGUCAUACAGAGGCAACUGGAAUUCCGUGUGUAGGGGUAAAAUCCGUUGAUCCACGGAGGAACGCCUAAAGCGAAAGCAGGUUGCUGGGUAUGUACUGACGGUCAGGGACGAAAGCGUGGGGAGCAAACGGG